UUUGGCGUGGCAGAGUUGGAUACAAUGCAAGGGGCUUAAAACCCCUAAUCAGACGUUCAAAUCGUCUCACCAAAA
This 75-nucleotide transfer RNA is filed under the name Pogona vitticeps (central bearded dragon). RNAcentral's name for it is "Leucine tRNA". It matches the Rfam family "tRNA". Rfam says of the family: Transfer RNA (tRNA) molecules are approximately 80 nucleotides in length. Their secondary structure includes four short double-helical elements and three loops (D, anti-codon, and T loops). The record is from RNAcentral. Lineage: Eukaryota; Metazoa; Chordata; Lepidosauria; Squamata; Agamidae.